UACGGAGGGGGUUAGCGUUGUUCGGAAUUACUGGGCGUAAAGCGCACGUAGGCGGAUCGGAAAGUUGGGGGUGAAAUCCCGGGGCUCAACCCCGGAACUGCCUCCAAAACUAUCGGUCUAGAGUUCGAGAGAGGUGAGUGGAAUUCCGAGUGUAGAGGUGAAAUUCGUAGAUAUUCGGAGGAACACCAGUGGCGAAGGCGGCUCACUGGCUCGAUACUGACGCUGAGGUGCGAAAGUGUGGGGAGCAAACAGG
RNAcentral lists this ribosomal RNA (253 nucleotides) under uncultured Ruegeria sp. Its description in RNAcentral is "partial 16S ribosomal RNA". It matches the Rfam family "Bacterial small subunit ribosomal RNA", at positions 524 to 776 of the family's 1533-position model. Lineage: Bacteria; Pseudomonadati; Pseudomonadota; Alphaproteobacteria; Rhodobacterales; Roseobacteraceae. The record is from RNAcentral.